GUGAAAUUGUUGAAAGGGAAGCGCUUGCAACCAGACCUGCCUGCAGUUGCUCAUCCGGGCUUUUGCCCGGUGCACUCUUCUGCUGUCAGGCCAGCAUCAGUUCGGGCGGUCGGAUAAAGGCUUCGGGAAUGUAGCUCCUCUCGAGGAGUGUUAUAGCCCGUUGCGAAAUGCGGCCAGCCUGAACUGAGGUCCGCGCUUCGGCUAGGAUGCUGGCGUAAUGGUUGUAAGCGGCCCGUCUUGAAACACGGACCAAGGAGUCUAACAUCUGUGCGAGUGUUUGGGUGUCAAACCCGUACGCGUAAUGAAAGUGAACGGAGGCGGGAACCCCUCGGGGUGCACCGUCGACCGAUCCUGAUGUCUUCGGAUGGAUUUGAGUAAGAGCAUAGCUGUUGGGACCCGAAAGAUGGUGAACUAUGCCUGAAUAGGGUGAAGCCAGAGGAAACUCUGGUGGAGGCUCGCAGCGGUUCUGACGUGCAAAUCGAUCGUCAAAUUUGGGCAUAGGGGCGAAAGACUAAUCGAACUAUCUAGUAGCUGGUUCCUGCCGAAGUUUCCCUCAGGAUAGCAGUAACGUUUUCAGUUUUAUGAGGUAAAGCGAAUGAUUAGAGGCCUGGGGGUUGAAACAACCUUCACCUAUUCUCAAACUUUAAAUAUGUAAGAAGUCCUUGUUGCUUAGUUGAACGUGGACAUUUGAAUGUAUCGUUACUAGUGGGCCAUUUUUGGUAAGCAGAACUGGCGAUGCGGGAUGAACC
RNAcentral lists this ribosomal RNA (749 nucleotides) under uncultured Ascomycota. Its description in RNAcentral is "LSU rRNA". It matches the Rfam family "Eukaryotic large subunit ribosomal RNA", at positions 399 to 1169 of the family's 3401-position model. Lineage: Eukaryota; Fungi; Ascomycota. The record is from RNAcentral.